AUUGGGAGAACUAUGGUUAAGGAACUCGGCAAAUUGCAUCCGUAACUUCGGGAGAAGGAUGACCUUAUUAGGGUGAUAAGACCUUGCGUCUUUGAGCCUGACGAGGUGACACAAACCAGAGGAAAGCGACUGUUUACUAAAAACACAGCAGCGUGCUAAGUCCUAAGACGACGUAUACGCUGUGACGCCUGCCCGGUGCUGGAAGGUUACGGGGAAGGGUUAGCCUUCGGGCGAAGCUCUGAACCUAAGCCCCAGUAAACGGNNNNNNNNNNUCCGACCUGCACGAAUGGCGUAACGACUUUCCUACUGUCUCAACCAUAGACCCAGCGAAAUUGAAGUACGAGUAAAGAUGCUCGUUAGCUGCAGAAGGACGGAAAGACCCCGUGGACCUUUACUACAGCUUGGUAUUGGUAUUUGUUAUGCGUUGUGUAGGAUAGGUGGGAGACUUUGAAGCGUUGGCGCUAGCCGAUGUGGAGUCAACCUUGAAAUACCACCCUGCGUUUGACGGAUAUCUAACCUGGGCCCGUAAUCCGGGCUGGGAACAGUGCCAGGUGGGUAGUUUGACUGGGGCGGUC
This 575-nucleotide ribosomal RNA is filed under the name Candidatus Poribacteria bacterium. RNAcentral's name for it is "partial 23S ribosomal RNA". It matches the Rfam family "Bacterial large subunit ribosomal RNA", at positions 1689 to 2284 of the family's 2925-position model. Lineage: Bacteria; Candidatus Poribacteria. The record is from RNAcentral.